Molecule: ribosomal RNA, 607 nt
Filed under: uncultured bacterium
Lineage: Bacteria
Description: bacterial SSU rRNA
Rfam family: Bacterial small subunit ribosomal RNA
Source: RNAcentral
CCUACGGGAGGCAGCAGUAAGGAAUAUUGGACAAUGGGCGAAAGCCUGAUCCAGCCAUGCCGCGUGAAGGAUUAAGGCCCUCUGGGUUGUAAACUUCUUUUAUAGGGGACGAAAAAAGGGAAUUCUUUCCCUCCUGACGGUACCCUAUGAAUAAGCACCGGCUAACUCCGUGCCAGCAGCCGCGGUAAUACGGAGGGUGCAAGCGUUAUCCGGAUUCACUGGGUUUAAAGGGUGCGUAGGCGGGUAGGUAAGUCAGUGGUGAAAUCUCGAAGCUUAACUUCGAAACUGCCAUUGAUACUAUUUAUCUUGAAUAUUGUGGAGGUUUGCGGAAUAUGUCAUGUAGCGGUGAAAUGCUUAGAUAUGACAUAGAACACCUAUUGCGAAGGCAGCAGGCUACGCAUAUAUUGACGCUGAGGCACGAAAGCGUGGGGAUCAAACAGGAUUAGAUACCCUGGUAGUCCACGCCCUAAACGAUGAUUACUCGACAUUUGUGAUACACUAUAAGUGUCUGAGCGAAAGCAUUAAGUAAUCCACCUGGGAAGUACGACCGCAAGGUUGAAACUCAAAGAGUAGUAGGCGUGNGAGUGCGACGAGACACAGGAGGAGG